GACGAACGCUGGCGGCGUGCUUAACACAUGCAAGUCGAGCGGAAAGGCCCUUCGGGGUACUCGAGCGGCGAACGGGUGAGUAACACGUGAGCAACCUGCCCUGGACUUUGGGAUAACCCUCGGAAACGGGGGCUAAUACCGAAUACGACCUGUCACUGCAUGGUGGUGGGUGGAAAGUUUUUCGGUUCUGGGAUGGGCUCGCGGCCUAUCAGCUUGUUGGUGGGGUGAUGGCCUACCAAGGCGACGACGGGUAGCCGGCCUGAGAGGGUGACCGGCCACACUGGGACUGAGACACGGCCCAGGACUCCUACGGGAGGCAGCAGUGGGGAAUAUUGCGCAAUGGGGCGAAAGCCUGACGCAGCGACGCCGCGUGAGGGACG
Molecule: ribosomal RNA, 380 nt
Filed under: uncultured bacterium
Lineage: Bacteria
Description: bacterial SSU rRNA
Rfam family: Bacterial small subunit ribosomal RNA
Source: RNAcentral